RNAcentral lists this ribosomal RNA (448 nucleotides) under uncultured bacterium. Its description in RNAcentral is "bacterial SSU rRNA". It matches the Rfam family "Bacterial small subunit ribosomal RNA", at positions 1 to 434 of the family's 1533-position model. The record is from RNAcentral.
CCCUUAGAGUUUGAUCCUGGCUCAGGACGAACGCUGGCGGCGUGCUUAACACAUGCAAGUCGAACGAGAAUCUACGGAUCGAGGAUUCGUCCAAGUGAAGUAGAGGACAGUGGCGGACGGGUGAGUAACGCGUGAGGAACCUGCCUUUCAGAGGGGGACAACAGUUGGAAACGACUGCUAAUACCGCAUGACACAUUGGGGUCGCAUGGCUCUGAUGUCAAAGAUUUAUCGCUGAAAGAUGGCCUCGCGUCUGAUUAGCUAGUUGGUGAGGUAACGGCCCACCAAGGCGACGAUCAGUAGCCGGACUGAGAGGUUGACCGGCCACAUUGGGACUGAGAUACGGCCCAGACUCCUACGGGAGGCAGCAGUGGGGAAUAUUGGGCAAUGGGCGCAAGCCUGACCCAGCAACGCCGCGUGAAGGAAGAAGGCUUUCGGGUUGUAAACUUCU